Cervus elaphus (red deer) is the source of this 511-nucleotide long non-coding RNA. RefSeq lists it as uncharacterized. NCBI's taxonomy places the organism in Eukaryota, Metazoa, Chordata, Mammalia, Artiodactyla, Cervidae. The transcript is spliced from 3 exons. The record is from RefSeq and is a predicted model, not a curated record.
UCUAAAGAAUGAAACUGAGUUCACAAUACAUUAAAUGGUGAUGGCCUGGAAUCUGAAGAUGCUGCUCGAGAUGAUCCCUCAGGAUAUGCUGAGAUAAGCAGAUGCUGCAGAAUGUCCUGCAGGAACAUUCCUUAGGACAUGGGGUUAUUGGUGAUAAAGAGGACUGAAGUUAUAUUUAAGAAAUACAUGCAGUGACUCAGAUCCUUAUCCAAGGAGGUCCUUCCUACAUUUUUGUAGCUAGCAUUUAAGAAAAAAGCAAGAAGGGAACUUUCAAAUUGUAUCUCAAUCCUACCACAUGGAAAAGGAAAAGGCAUCAACAAAUCCGGACACAUAUCCAGUGACUGGAUACCCUGGUUCCAGAACUGAGAUACUCCAUGCCGUGCGGCCAAGAAAAGAUACUCCUUUUUUUGUUCAAUGGUUUCCUGGUAAGUAUUUAGAUACAAGUGAAGAACAUUAAUUUAGAACUUAGGGUUUCCUUUUAGUGUAUGUUAAUUUUUUUAGGCAUCUAAAU